This 507-nucleotide ribosomal RNA is filed under the name uncultured bacterium. RNAcentral's name for it is "bacterial SSU rRNA". It matches the Rfam family "Bacterial small subunit ribosomal RNA", at positions 20 to 518 of the family's 1533-position model. The record is from RNAcentral.
CUGGUCAGGAUGAACGCUAGCUACAGGCUUAACACAUGCAAGUCGAGGGGCAGCAUUGGGAUAGCUGCUAUCCAGAUGGCGACCGGCGCACGGGUGAGUAACGCGUAUCCAACCUUCCCUAUAGUAGAGAAUAGCCCGGCGAAAGUCGGAUUAAUGCUCUAUGUUGUGUUUUGAGGACAUCUGACGAACACCAAAGGUUCACCGCUAUAGGAUGGGGAUGCGUCUGAUUAGCUUGUUGGCGGGGUAACGGCCCACCAAGGCGACGAUCAGUAGGGGUUCUGAGAGGAAGGUCCCCCACAUUGGUACUGAGACACGGACCAAACUCCUACGGGAGGCAGCAGUGAGGAAUAUUGGUCAAUGGGCGAGAGCCUGAACCAGCCAAGUAGCGUGCAGGAUGACUGCCCUAUGGGUUGUAAACUGCUUUUAUCAGGGAAUAAAGUGCGGCACGUGUGCCGUUUUGUAUGUACCUGAUGAAUAAGGACCGGCUAAUUCCGUGCCAGCCGCAGC